AUUCUGACAAGUUGAAGAAUAUUUUUUUCUUUUAGAUUUGAAAUUUACAAGUAUUUUUAUCUUUUCUUAACUUCUUAGAUCCCCAAGAAGGUGAAAAUACAGUUUAUGCAGAAGUUACGGAGGACUACAAGACACAAAAGCCACAGGAGAUGCUGCAGAAAUCAGAAAAUCCUAAAACUGUGUACGAUACUGCAGGAGCGCAGCCAUGUGUUACUUUGGAAACCAACCUGACCACACCCAAUCCUGACUCUAUGAAUCAGAAGAGCGACCCAGACAAACCAGUCACUGUCUACUGUGCCAUUCAAAAGCACUCAAAACCCUUGAUGUCUGAAACUGAUAACACCAUUUAUGCAGUUGUCAGCAAACCCUCAGCCUGCUUUGAAUCGGCACACUAACUGAAUUGAAAUGCAUUAAAAGCAUCAUCAGUACAGUAUAUACUAUGAUGUCGAUAUGGGAAACUACUGUAACUUCUUUAGGAUUUCAAUAAUAACUGUGCAGUGUGUGAUUUGCACUGACAGGGUGAUUUUUUUGGUCUGUCUGUCUGAAUAUAUUUCUAGUUAAAUGCCUUUUCUAUUGUUUGAAUAAUACAGAAAUUAAUGAAUUUAUUGAAAUUGUAUAAUUACUGAAGAUUUGUGACUCAGAGGAAUGUGAUUUCAUUAGAGAUUUCCAUUGAUGAUUCCUCACAACCCUUGAGGUCAAACUUUAAAACCACUUCCUGGAAAGUGUGUGUGUUGGUCUGUAACAGUCUAGUCAAAGGGGGUGUUGGGGGUGUUUGUUUGGCAAAAGAUGGAUCCCUUUGAAACGUUUUUAGAACAUCGGUACUAAAAAUAAGGGGUUCAGGCCUUCUAUUGUCCAUCACUAUAUGGGAUCUAUUUGUCUUGAGUAAAUGUUAUUCUGUUGUACUUUCUCACUUGUAAGUUGCUUUGAAUAAAAUGCAUAAACCUGCACUGUAAAAAAAAAUCUGUAAUUUUAGCAGUAAAAGACUGUAAAAAUGCGACAGAAAUAAAUGUUAAUUGAUGAACGAAUAUUAACUGUUAAAAUAUAUAUAUAAAUGUUACUGUAUAUUUUAAAGACAAUAAAUUAUUUUGUACAAUAAAAUGUUGUAAAAAUUUUAGAUGUAAAAAGUAUAAUUUUCCUGUAUAAUUAAUGGUUUAUACAGUAAAUUAUUGUUAAAAUGACAGUAAAAACAAUAAUCGGGCAUUCCCACAAUUCUCUGCACGACCCAUCAUAUUUAAUUAUAUGUUAUGGGAAUAGUUGUUUCUUCAUAUUUCUAAUAUCAGUUAUGUACAUUGGGGUGCUGUGUUUUAUAUUUAAUGUAGUUUAGUUCAUGUUUACUGCAUAAUUUAUAUUACACAUGUUCCCCGGAUGGUGUUUAGUGUUUGUGUGAGUGACGCUGAACACUGUCUCUACAUGUUUAUUGGUCAUUGCUCCUGGAAUUUUUAUGUGAUUAACAAUAUCUUAUAAAGUAAAAAGCAGAUUUUUAAGGUUAAUAUCUAGUUUAUGAUGUUCUUUUAGCAGUUAAAUAACAGAUUUUUAUUUAUUUUUUUCUUUAUAGUGCCAUCGUGGUCAUAUAAAUUACAACAGUUUUAAAUUGUAAAAUGUACAGGUUGUUCUAUAAAUUUAUUAAAAAUGUUUUUGUAUUUUGACAAUUUUUCUGGCAACCACAGCUUCCAGUUUUUUUUUUUUUUUUUGUAAAAACAGGAUUAUUUACAGUGAGUAUAACCUGUAUUAACUGAUUCGAUUGUUUUAUCUGUAUCUGUUAUUUUCUUUCUCAGUUUGUUCUGUUUCUCUGUUUCUUGAGUUUGUAUUCAUCUUUUGAACCUCUUGAGUGUUUAACCUGUUUAACUGUUUAAUGCCCUGUGAACAUGUUUAUUAAAUAAAACAUUCGAUUUCAGUUUGUUUCUCACCAAAUCUUACUGCAUUCAUUCAUAACAAUCACGAGUCUCAUGAAAUAAUUUAUUAGACUUCUGAAUUAUACUUUUGUGUUCUUUUGAAGUUUGAAGAGGUCGUCACCAUAAACUGCCAUUGAAUGACAUCACUGAGCAAAAUAUUUCUCCCUUUGUGUUAAAGUCAUAAAGGGUUAUAACAACACAUGGGUGAGUAAACAAUGACUGAAUUUUCAUUUUUUUUUUGGUGAAUUAAUCCUUUAAUAACAUUUACAAAUAUAUUUUUUUAUUGUAAUCAAUAUUAUGCCACAAAUGCCAUCGGUUGAGAUUAAAUUGUCUUGAACCUGGAAUAUUCUUUUAAAGGGGUCAUGACAUGAGAAACCAAAUUUGCCUUGAUCUUUUGGUAUAUAAGAGGUCUUUGUAUCAUUAAAACGUCCUGCAAGUUUAAUAUUUUAAGACGUCCUCCCCAUUCUAAACGAAUCAUUUAUUUAAUCAAGCUCAAAAUACAGCUCGUUCUGGAUUCAUGGUUAGAAGUGACGUGUCGGUUAGAAGUGA
Molecule: long non-coding RNA, 2441 nt
Organism: Xyrauchen texanus (razorback sucker)
Lineage: Eukaryota; Metazoa; Chordata; Actinopteri; Cypriniformes; Catostomidae
Exons: 3
Source: RefSeq, a predicted model, not a curated record